Molecule: ribosomal RNA, 492 nt
Filed under: uncultured bacterium
Lineage: Bacteria
Description: partial 16S ribosomal RNA
Rfam family: Bacterial small subunit ribosomal RNA
Source: RNAcentral
AAUGAACGCUGGCGGCGUGCCUAACACAUGCAAGUCGAACGGCCGCACAGUAAGAUUUUGCUUUUGCGGUUAGCGACUGGCGGGCGGGUCACACGUAUAUCACAAUCUUCUUUUUCGUGGAGAAUAACGUAGGUCAGCUUACACUAAUACCUCAUAUUCUGUACCGUUGAGUGCAUUGGAUCUUCUCGGCUUUUGCGUCUGUAUUAGCUGAUGUCGCGUUAGAUAGUUGGGAGGGUAAAGGCCCACCAAGGCGACGAUGCGUAGCCGAACUGAGAGGAUGAUCGGCCACACUGGAACUGAGACACGGUCCAGACUCCUAAGGGAGGCAGCAGUAGGGAAUCUUGGGCAAUGGGCGAAAGCCUGAAGGAGCCAUGCCGCGUGGGUGAAGAAGGCCUUCGGAUCGUAAAGCCCUGUUGUUGGGGAAGAAAAGAUGUAGAAGUAAACGCGGAUGUUGUGACGGUACCGAAUCAAAAAGCACCGGCUAACUACGUG